CCGGAGUACUUCAAAUAUCUCUUCGAUUCCAUAAACUCUGGCAGCCCGACCUGUCUGGCUAAGAUUCUGGGGAUGUAUCAGGUAAACUUUUGUCAUUCACCUGAAAACUUGUUUCAUUGUUUCUUUUGACGCUAGGUGAUCAUAAAGCAAGUCAAGGGAGGCAAGGAAGUACGCAUGGAUUUGAUGGUCAUGGAGAAUCUGCUCUAUGGCAGACACGUUACUCGGCUAUAUGAUUUGAAAGGCUCAGUGCGCUCUCGUUACAACUCAGACUCCACGGCAAAGAACGCUGUUUUGUUGGACCAGAACCUGUUGGAAUCCAUGCCAACGGCACCCAUUUUUGUCGGGAAUAAAGCCAAGAGGCUUUUGGAGCGAGCGGUAUGGAACGACACCUCAUUCCUUGCGGUAAGCAAUGGUUUCUCUCUUUUUUUUCUUCUUCGCGCUCACACUUUUAUACUGGUUUUGUAGAACAUAGAUGUCAUGGACUACUCGCUACUCGUUGGGAUUGACGAAGAACGAGGGGAGCUUGUCCUCGGGAUUAUUGACUUCAUGCGGCAAUACACAUGGGACAAGCAUCUGGAGACGUGGGUCAAGGCUUCGGGCAUUCUCGGAGGCCCAAAGAACGCGCCGCCGACCGUGAUCUCUCCCAAGCAGUACAAGAAGCGCUUCCGCAAGGCCAUGUCGACGUACUUCGUUACUGUUCCCGACCACUGGACUCCUCCCUCGGUCAUCAGCGCUUGUCCGGGGCCGGAGGAGAGUGGAAGCAGCAGCCACAACAAUGGGAGCUCCACCACAAACGGGCAGGACGAGUACGGUGAAAGCUUUGGAGGCUGAGCGGAGCUCCGGGCUAUCCAUCCAUCGAUCUACCGAUCGACCGGCUUCCUGGAAUGGUACGUAUUUCUAAAGUUCUUGAAGUUGAUGCUCAUUUUCUCCAGAGAUUGUCCGCGAAGUUUGCGUUAAGGUUUCGUCGUAGCAGAUUAAAAAGCAUGAGAAGUAAGAAAAAGUUUUGUCCAGUUCGCUGGGGAGCCAUUUCCCCGUCGUCGGUGUAUUCAUUCAUUACUCGGCAUAUUGUAUAGAGUGAAUUGUCAUCGUCCUUUAUUUCUUCCGUUUUGAUAAGGCGAGUUUAGAAGGUGGCAGGAAAUCUUGAGAUCACCCAAACCCUGUGCCUCUUCUGAAAUGAUGUUUUCGUUUUCAAUCCAGAAUCUUCAUAAUCUACAAAGUCCUUGUUCCUCGUAUAUGGAUUCGCAUGCCAUAUGCUGUUGUUUCCCAACUUCCGCCACUUCAGAUUUCUCACGAGUAACAAGUGGAACUGUGCCGCCUGCGAAAAUUUGUAAGACCUGUUCUUCGCUCUUUGAAAUUGUUGAAAAAGUACAUUCGACGAACUUGCAGCAUCAAACUCGUUGAAUGAGAUCAUCACAAUCACAAUCACAUUCAUCUAUGCAAAAAGUGCAGUAACGAAGGGGUGGUUCGGAAAACACCCUGCACGGAGGGAAGAGCAGCUGUCCACGUUGGAAUAUGCUUCUUGUUCAAAAAUGAAAAUGAACUAUGAAAUUGAAACACCUUUAACACCCACAUGGCAAAACUUAAUAGUUUUAAUUGCACUUUUGUGCUCAGUGGAGAGAAAAGGAACGUACAGAGAGUAUCUGAGGAGGCGUCCUCACCAAGGAGAGUUCCAAAGGCGCUUCUUCAGAUGGGAAGGUUGAAGAUCCUUUAUAGCAGCAAGGGUCAGGCAUUUCGAUGCGCUGUGGAAGAAAUUUUGCGCUGGUAAGCUUUGGCUAUCGUUGAGCAGGUGCCGUAAAUCGGAAGCACAGGGUGGAAAGAACGUCGUCUUUUUUGCCAAGUCGAUGGACGACAGAUUCAUCGUGAAGCAAGUGACGAGGACGGAGCUUCUCUCUUUCCUGGAGUUUGCACCGGAGUACUUCUUCAAUUCUCUAGACUCUGGCAGCCCGACCUGUCUGGCUAAGAUUCUCGGGAUGUAUGAGGUAAAGGUUUGGUCAUUCACUAGGAAAGCUCAUUUCUGGUUUCAUUGUUGCUUUCGACGCUAGGUGAUCAUAAAUGGAUUUGUUGGUCAUGAAAAAUCUGCUCUAUGGCAGACACGCUACUCGGCUAUAUGAUUUGAUUCAUC
RNAcentral lists this long non-coding RNA (2122 nucleotides) under Selaginella moellendorffii. RNAcentral describes it as "long non-coding RNA (SMOE_LNC000425)". The record is from RNAcentral. Lineage: Eukaryota; Viridiplantae; Streptophyta; Lycopodiopsida; Selaginellales; Selaginellaceae.